AUAACAGUAAAAAAUAAACACCCAGUGAUUAUAAAUUUUAAGACUAAAACUAAAAUUGUUCAAAUAGAUGGCAUCGAUGUUUUUGAUGAAAAAGAAGUUAUAGAAGCAGAAGAAAAUAUAAUAUCAAACAAUAAUGAAUAUGUAAUAAAUCCCUUUUCUGAAAAAAAUAUAAUCGUGAGUUUUAACACUAGCCGAAAGGGGGUAUUUUUGUAUCGUUUUUUUGUCAUGAUAGCAGGUAAGAUAAAAAAAAAAAAAAAAACUGCCAUUUGUUUUAAUGUAUAAACAUAUAUAUAUGUAUGUAUAUAUACAUGCAUAUACACAUAUAACAUACUUUCGUAAUAAACCCUAAAAUUUUUUUUUUCUCAGAAUAUAGGUACAAGGAUAAGCUGGACACAAAAAAAAAAAAAAAAAAAAAUUACAACACACAUGCAUAUAUACAUAUAUAUAUAUAUAUAUAUGUGUGUGUACACGUGAGCAAACUGUUUUAAACACAAGUUUAUGUAACAAUCUGCUUACCUUUUGCAGACACACUGUUGAUAUAAUACUAAAAGUCGUCAUGCCAUAUUUCCAAGUUAUAGAUAUAAACGAUUUUAAAACACCCACAUCUAUUUACUGGAACAUGACAUCUAUAGAUAAAAUUAACGCCUGUUUAAAAGAUCACCUUUCAAAAACAGAGCUAGACUACAAAAAAGAGCAAAGUGUAGAGAAUUUACAAAACUUAUUUAAUCGAUUUAAUUAUAUAGAAUUUAACAUUGGAAAUAAUAUAUUAAAUGAACAAACAUAUGUUAAUUUACUUUUGUAUAACCCAUUAGAUAUAUCAUUAAACAUACAAAUAAAUACUAUCAAGUAUUACAUUUUCCCUAUUUUACCACCAUAUAUCAAAAAUGAAGAAGAAAAGAUGGCCCAGUUUUUAUACGUAGACAAUACAUUCCGUCAUUAUAUGAGGUGUUUAGAUAGUUUUGAUAUUUAUCCUAAAAAAUUCGAAAUAAAAAAAAAGACAGCCAAAACAAUCACUUUAAUAUAUAAGCAUAAAUAUGUUGGCUUUCAUAAUAUGCCAUUAAUAGUUGAAGUAGAAAAUGGGAAAAUAGUUCCUUUGAAUGUUUGCUCCUUAACGCUUUAUCCCAACAUGCCUCCCAUUAAUUGGAUGAAUACUAAGAAUUUUAAUCAACAUAUUUUGACUUUAAAAAACGAGUGUAUCAUAAAUGUAGAUCUGCUAAAUGAUAGUGAAUUAGACAUAUUUUAUGAAAUGCAACAUAACGAAAAUUUUACUAUUUUAAACCCUAAAGGAAUAAUUAAAAGAAGGAAGUAUAUUUCUCUUUUUAUUUUAAUUUCUAGAUUGUCACCAUCAAUAAUGAAAGAAAACUUAAUAUUAAAUUCUUAUUUUAAACAUUUGCAAAAAGAUAUAGUAAUAUAUAUAUAUAUAUAUAUAUAUACAUUAUACUUAUGUUUACAUACAUGCAUAAUAUUACAUUAAUUUAUAUAUUUUUUUUUUAUCCAUACCAAUGUGUAUAUAUAUAAGUACAUAUACUUAUACAUAUUAACCAUAAUAUAAUUAUUAUUAUUUUUUUUUUUUUUUUUUUUAUAGAUGCUUAAUAAAAUACAACUAGAAGUAAAUAUCA
This is a long non-coding RNA of Piliocolobus tephrosceles (Ugandan red Colobus), 1619 nucleotides long. The record is from Ensembl. Lineage: Eukaryota; Metazoa; Chordata; Mammalia; Primates; Cercopithecidae.